This 117-nucleotide small nuclear RNA is filed under the name Spermophilus dauricus (Daurian ground squirrel). RNAcentral's name for it is "U4 spliceosomal RNA (ENSSDAG00000018916.1)". It matches the Rfam family "U4 spliceosomal RNA". From Rfam's summary of the family: U4 small nuclear RNA (U4 snRNA) is a component of the major U2-dependent spliceosome. The structure of U4 snRNA from yeast and human has been reported. Lineage: Eukaryota; Metazoa; Chordata; Mammalia; Rodentia; Sciuridae. The record is from Rfam by way of RNAcentral.
AGCUUUGCGCAGUGGCAGUAUCGUAGCCAAUAAGAUUUAUCCGAGGCGCGAUUAUUGCUAAUAGAAUACUUUUGGUUUAAAUUUCUCUAAUUAAUCAACAAAACUCUCCACUGGUUU